This 449-nucleotide ribosomal RNA is filed under the name uncultured bacterium. Its description in RNAcentral is "partial 16S ribosomal RNA". It matches the Rfam family "Bacterial small subunit ribosomal RNA", at positions 329 to 792 of the family's 1533-position model. The record is from RNAcentral.
GGCCAGACUCCUACGGGAGGCAGCAGUGGGGAAUAUUGCACAAUGGGGGGAACCCUGAUGCAGCAAUGCCGCGUGAAGGAUGAAGGUCUUCGGAUUGUAAACUUCUUUUGUACGGGACGAAGAAAGUGACGGUACCGUAAGAAUAAGCCACGGCUAACUACGUGCCAGCAGCCGCGGUAAUACGUAGGUGGCAAGCGUUAUCCGGAUUUACUGGGUGUAAGGGGCGAGUAGGCGGGAUUGCAAGUCAGAUGUGAAAACUAUGGGCUCAACCCAUAACCUGCAUUUGAAACUGUAGUUCUUGAGUGUUGGAGAGGCAGGCGGAAUUCCGUGUGUAGCGGUGAAAUGCGUAGAUAUACGGAGGAACACCAGUGGCGAAGGCGGCCUGCUGGACAUUAACUGACGCUGAGGCGCGAAAGCGUGGGGAGCAAACAGGAUUAGAUACCCCCGUA